AAUAAAUAAAUAAAUAGUGCCAAUGUUAUGACCAGAGGCAGCAAGGCCUGACACAGCAUCCAAGGCCAGUCUGGGCACCUGCUCUUUUGCACAUUAAUAUAAUAAGCUUUAACAAGAAAUACAUGUUAACUUUCUCAGGAUCAAAGGAUUCAGAAGGCUAUUUUGCUCUCAUUUUAUCCUUAGGCUUCAGCAGAAGAAACACUUCCUAUAAAUCUCGCCCAAACAGGAAAGGUUCCCAGCACUCCAAAGCCAAGCUCACCUCCUCAUCACACGCCCUGCAGGAGAAGCAUCAGGGUGUCCGACUACGUGGGUUUCAUAGCUGUGGAAAAGCCAAAGGGGAGACUCCUGAAGAAAGGCGGUGAAGACUGUGAAGAGCGGGUCAGGAAGAUGAGCACAGCACUGCUACUCCUGUGGGCACAGGGACAGCAUGUCUCCAGCCAGCGCCACCUUGUUUAAUACAUGGGAACUCACUGAAAUUCAUUCUGUAUUUUGCCCACAAAGUUUUAAAGCUUUCAUCCACAGUCAGGAAUUAAACUUAUACCAAUGAGAGCCUCACACAUUCAAGGAUGUACUAAGCACUACAGGCCUCACAGAAACAGAGAUCCCAUCUUGGAGUUUUCAGUCCCACAUGGGAGAUAAAGGGUUUUGAACAUGAAAUGACAAAAACAACAGCAAGAAGAAAAUUCUCGUCCUUUUUCAUUACUAUCAAACUCAAAUAAAUGUCUUGGCUCUUACAUUACAUUCAUUCUUCAACCAUUGUGGUCUGGCUUCCACUUCCUUCACUUCACCAACAUGGCUCUGCCAAAGGAAGCCUGUGAUCUCUAGGCCAUCACUUUAAUUGAUCUCUCUACAACAUUUAUCCUGGUCGUUAAGCCCUCCUUACAACAUUCUUCUCUCUUUGUUUUUAUGGCUCUGUCUCUCCUGCUUCUUUAACCUGAUAAUGCA
RNAcentral lists this long non-coding RNA (945 nucleotides) under Homo sapiens (human). Its description in RNAcentral is "HSALNT0380415". Lineage: Eukaryota; Metazoa; Chordata; Mammalia; Primates; Hominidae. The record is from RNAcentral.